GCAAACAUGUGGCAACCAAAAGGGGGUCGUGGUAAUAGCCUAUUGCAACCAUAAAAAAAAUAUGGCAUUCAAUUACACUAUUCAAAACCGUACAUAUAAUAGAUUCAUAAAACUCAUAAUUCUCAUAGCAAACCAUCAAAUGAAACUGGCCCAGUCAUAGACUAAAUUGUGCGUGGUCUCGAGUCUAGUCCAGGUAGUUUUUUGGAUCCUCCGUCAUCUCGAGUCCAGUCCAGCUAGUUAUUUUGAUCCUGCAAUCAAGAAAUCAAAAAAAACAUCCAGUUAAUUAGCCUAGUAUAACAUACCUCAAAAAUCAUAUCGAUGGUACUGCAAUAAUCCAAAAAACUCUUUUACAGAGACCUAGUCCUAAUAAGAAAGGACACAUCAUUUCGAUGAGAUAUUUUCUGAGACUCAGUAUGUGACUGCUAAUAUUUACUUUCCAAAGAUCUAUGAAAUCUUCUAUCUAUUAUAUACUUAAAAGGAUAGAAAACGAACGGCUAAGAUGUAACAGUAAAAAAAAGCUUGAAAGAACUAUCAGGAUUAGUUUUAAAGUACACGUAUGCAUGAUUCCUGUUCACGUGCAUGUCCACAUCGUGAGCAUUGUAAGACUGAGGGAAGGUGUCCAGGAGACAUACGCUAUACUUGAACUAAUAAAGGAUUCCUGAAGGCACACUUAUAUUGAUUUUAAAACAUCCGAUCUUCACAAGGAAAAUAUUUCAGAAAUAUAAUUAGGAAACAGAAAAAACAAGGAAAGAAAACACGUAAUGUGAGCAAUCAGAUCUUUUCCUUUUUAUGGUCAAUAAUGUUUACAAUUUUAAGAAUCUGACACGUGCAAGGUUUAACCAUAUUUACAAAGAAAAAUUCCUAUACAUGUCGGUCUAGGAUACGCGGCAGCUUUCUAAAAGAAGAUACAAGGCACCUAAUCAAUCGGUUUACGACCGGCUGUACAUAACUUUUCUUAACACCUGCGGAAAAAACUUAACCGGCAAGGUUGAUGUCAUGUUACGGACAGCCAUCCAUGAAACGCGUACGUGCAGAAUUCGUGUUUCUCACAUAAUGGGUGAUGUCAACAUCAUCUAAUUCUUUUUCUUAGCAAUCAGCAAUAUCUAAUUAAUCACAUAUUUUUCAAAUAAUAAAAUAGUUCUAUCUUUGUUUUUGUUUACAUGCUCUACACAUCAGACGGGAUAUAAUAUCUGCAACAAUGAGUAGAUAACGUUCCUUUCCUAUUGUCUUAACAAUAUAAUAGAUAGAUAACGUUGUAGGUGAAAAUGAAGAGUAAGCAAAGUUGUGACUUACAAUUGCUUUAAACAUUCGA
This 1312-nucleotide long non-coding RNA is filed under the name Hordeum vulgare. RNAcentral describes it as "long non-coding RNA (HVUL_LNC001086)". Lineage: Eukaryota; Viridiplantae; Streptophyta; Magnoliopsida; Poales; Poaceae. The record is from RNAcentral.